GGUGAACGCUGGCGGCGUGCCUAAGACAUGCAAGUCGAGCGGGCCGCGGGGUUUUACUCCGUGGUCAGCGGCGGACGGGUGAGUAACGCGUGGGUGACCUACCCGGAAGAGGGGGACAACCCGGGGAAACUCGGGCUAAUCCCCCAUGUGGACCCGCCCCUUGGGGUGUGUCCAAAGGGCUUUGCCCGCUUCCGGAUGGGCCCGCGUCCCAUCAGCUAGUUGGUGGGGUAAUGGCCCACCAAGGCGACGACGGGUAGCCGGCCUGAGAGGGGGGCCGGCCACAGGGGCACUGAGCCACGGGCCCCACUCCUACGGGAGGCCGCAGUUAGGAAUCUUCCGCAAUGGGCGCAAGCCUGACGGAGCGACGCCGCUUGGAGGAAGAAGCCCUUCGGGGUGUAAACUCCUGAACCCGGGACGAAACCCCCGACGAGGGGACUGACGGUACCGGGGUAAUAGCGCCGGCCAACUCCGUG
Molecule: ribosomal RNA, 473 nt
Filed under: uncultured bacterium
Lineage: Bacteria
Description: partial 16S ribosomal RNA
Rfam family: Bacterial small subunit ribosomal RNA
Source: RNAcentral